GCAAGUAGGCCAGUCACAGGGCCCCAUUCUCCUUGGUACAAUGGUUGGGUUGGGUCUUGCACAUGUGAUGGGCUGGUCAAUCAAGCCUCCACCAUCCCCAGCACUGCUGAUGCAGCGGAUAGGGACCACUGGCUUCCUCCUUCCGAAGUCCUUUCCCUGGAAGAUGCUGGGUCUUCAUCUGCUCCCACGUCUGGAGGUACAGCACAGACAGCUCUUGAAGAAAUGGAUGUCUAAUGGGUACUUUGAAGAGGACCUCACUCUACUCUGUUCCUGGGCUCCCAUCACCAUGAAUGCUGUCCCUAUCCACCUCAAGCUCCAGAGACAGAAAAUUCAGUCAUCUUUACCUUCUCUCCUUAAAUCAUUCUACUGAAUAUUCUGCUGUUCUGUUCUGGAAAGGUUUCACCCAUCUGUCCCUUCUCCCACCCUCUUGCCAUUGCCUUAGCUCAGGCCACCUUCAACUCAAGGCAACGGCUUCAGUCUGUCCUCUCUUCCCUCUUCUUGCCUUUAAAUAUCCUCUACAC
Long non-coding RNA from Bos taurus (domestic cattle), 521 nucleotides. NCBI's taxonomy places the organism in Eukaryota, Metazoa, Chordata, Mammalia, Artiodactyla, Bovidae. The record is from Ensembl.